RNAcentral lists this long non-coding RNA (416 nucleotides) under Gallus gallus (chicken). Lineage: Eukaryota; Metazoa; Chordata; Aves; Galliformes; Phasianidae. The record is from RNAcentral.
ACCUGGUUUACCGACGGAAGCAGUUCUGUGAGACAAGGAAACCGUAAGGCAGGAUAUGCAGUAACUGCUACUGACAAGGUCUUGGAGAACAGGAGACGUGCCUGAAGACUGGAGGAUAGCCAAUGUCACUCCGGUCUUCAAAAAGGGCAAGAAGGAGGAUCCAGGAAACUACAGACCAGUCAGCCUCACCUCUGUCCCUGGAAAGGUGAUGGACCACCUUGUUCUAGAUGCCAUCUCUAAGCAAUUGGAAGAGAAGAAGGUCAUCAGGAAUUGCCAGUCCAUGAUCACCUCUAAGAUUCCUGGAAAACUGAGGUUCCCCAUCCGAGCUCACUGUAUAAUCAACACAAUCCACUUGCUCCAAGUGGCAUCAGUAGCAUGAUGGGUGGAGGGAACCUUUCCUUUAAACAUCCAGUUCA